RNAcentral lists this ribosomal RNA (468 nucleotides) under uncultured bacterium. Its description in RNAcentral is "partial 16S ribosomal RNA". It matches the Rfam family "Bacterial small subunit ribosomal RNA", at positions 28 to 507 of the family's 1533-position model. The record is from RNAcentral.
GACGAACGCUGGCGGCGUGCUUAACACAUGCAAGUCGAACGGAAAGGCCCUGCUUUUGUGGGGUGCUCGAGUGGCGAACGGGUGAGUAACACGUGAGUAACCUGCCCUUGACUUUGGGAUAACUUCAGGAAACUGGGGCUAAUACCGGAUAGGAGCUCCUGCUGCAUGGUGGGGGUUGGAAAGUUUCGGCGGUUGGGGAUGGACUCGCGGCUUAUCAGCUUGUUGGUGGGGUAGUGGCUUACCAAGGCUUUGACGGGUAGCCGGCCUGAGAGGGUGACCGGCCACAUUGGGACUGAGAUACGGCCCAGAAUCCAACGGGAGGCAGCAGUGGGGAAUAUUGCACAAUGGGCGGAAGCCUGAUGCAGCAACGCCGCGUGCGGGAUGACGGCCUUCGGGUUGUAAACCGCUUUCGCCUGGGACGAAGCGUGAGUGACGGUAAUGGGUAAAGAAGCACCGGCUAACUACGUG